GUGCUUGCUUUGGCAGCACAUAUACUAAAAUUGGAACUAUAGAGAGAAGAUUAGCAUGGCCUGUGCGCAACGAUGAUGUACAAAUUCGUGAAGCGUUCCAUAUAAAG
Molecule: small nuclear RNA, 107 nt
Filed under: Notamacropus eugenii (tammar wallaby)
Lineage: Eukaryota; Metazoa; Chordata; Mammalia; Diprotodontia; Macropodidae
Source: RNAcentral